Molecule: transfer RNA, 75 nt
Filed under: Streptomyces glaucescens
Lineage: Bacteria; Bacillati; Actinomycetota; Actinomycetes; Kitasatosporales; Streptomycetaceae
Description: tRNA-Cys (GCA) (tRNA-Cys-GCA-1-1)
Rfam family: tRNA
About the family: Transfer RNA (tRNA) molecules are approximately 80 nucleotides in length. Their secondary structure includes four short double-helical elements and three loops (D, anti-codon, and T loops).
Source: RNAcentral
GGCCGUGUGCCCGAGUGGUUGAGGGGCCAGACUGCAAAUCUGGUUACGCGGGUUCGAUUCCCGCCACGGCCUCCA